UGAGUGACACAGCUUGUACUUCAGAUCUGC
RNAcentral lists this non-coding RNA (30 nucleotides) under Mus musculus (house mouse). The record is from RNAcentral. Lineage: Eukaryota; Metazoa; Chordata; Mammalia; Rodentia; Muridae.